UCUAAUUGUCCAAAUGGGGCGAUGGGGCUACGUUGGAAACUAUUAUCACAUUAGCAUCACCAUUAAUUCAAGCCACAUACUUAUAAAUUCUAAAAGCUUUCUCUUAGCUAGCUUUCAAUGGCCAUUUAAAUGGCUAUUUAUUCUCACUACCCUUAUCACUCUAAAAUGAAUGAACAACCCCACUACCAAUUCACCCCCAAAUCUAAACACUAAUCAUUCUCAACACUAAAACUCAAUUCUAGUGUACUACUCACCUUGGUAGCUUGUAUUUGAAAUUCUUUUCAAAACUUUCAAGCUAUUUUUGAAGCUUCCUCUUUCUCUCUCUAAAACACCUAACUAGUGAGAGAGAGUAUGAAAAUAAGAUUUUUUUUUCAAGGGUUUUAAGGAGAGAGAGUGGAAGAGCACAAGGGUUUAUGGAAAGGGUGCACCAAAAGCAUGAAAUUUGGAGCUAUUUGAGGAAGGUUAUGGAGCUUUCUUAUCAAACUUUCAUGGGGGAUGAAAGCAACGUGAGAUGAGAGGAAGAAGAAGGAGAAAAG
RNAcentral lists this long non-coding RNA (536 nucleotides) under Theobroma cacao (cacao). Its description in RNAcentral is "long non-coding RNA (TCAC_LNC003338)". Lineage: Eukaryota; Viridiplantae; Streptophyta; Magnoliopsida; Malvales; Malvaceae. The record is from RNAcentral.